AGGACGAACGCUGGCGGCGUGCUUAACACAUGCAAGUCGAACGGUAAGGCCCUUCGGGGUACACGAGUGGCGAACGGGUGAGUAACACGUGGGUGAUCUGCCCUGCACUUCGGGAUAAGCUUGGGAAACUGGGUCUAAUACCGGAUAUGACUACGAAUCGCAUGGUUUGUGGUGGAAAGCUUUUGCGGUGUGGGAUGGGCCCGCGGCCUAUCAGCUUGUUGGUGGGUGAUGGCCUACCAAGGCGACGACGGGUA
Molecule: ribosomal RNA, 254 nt
Filed under: uncultured bacterium
Lineage: Bacteria
Description: partial small subunit ribosomal RNA
Rfam family: Bacterial small subunit ribosomal RNA
Source: RNAcentral